UAAUGCUGUUUCUCUCCAAGGUUCACCCUGUUCAACAAGACACCAUCAAAUCCCGCCUCUCUUGGGGGAAAAGGGGUGUGGAGGGGCCCUGCAUCUGCAGCUGAAGACUUUGCUGGAAUCCUUGAAGCAUAAAAACGUCCACCAGCAGGGAUAUUACAAACGACAUGAAUAAUAUUUGUGAUUAAUAACAACUAAGCAGAGGCACACUAUCCAAGAAAUACAUGAUUAGCUUAUUACAGAUAUCUGAUAUACCAAUUAUCUUCAAAAAUUUCAUCAUUGAUGACUGUUUUGGCAGAAAUUUGAGUAGGGGAAGAGGAAACUUGAACUUUUAUGUAAGUUCAAAACAAAGCUUUUGGGCGAUUGGACUUUGGAAGACCUGGGAAAGGUAUUUGGUAUUUAAUUCUGGCUGAUGAGAAGGAAAUUAAAUAAUGAGAAUGGAAAUCAGUGUGAAGAUGGAAACUUGAGUCUAGGAGAACUUGGCUGUCAUCGUCAGGAGCUCCUCUUUACCUUUCUGGACAAAAGGUUUUAGAAAGCAACGGAGGUAUUAGAAGAACAGGUAUAUUAAGCAGCCUGGGCUGAAAUUCCUGUAGGAGUCCUACUCGGAUUUU
Molecule: long non-coding RNA, 608 nt
Organism: Sciurus carolinensis (gray squirrel)
Lineage: Eukaryota; Metazoa; Chordata; Mammalia; Rodentia; Sciuridae
Exons: 3
Source: RefSeq, a predicted model, not a curated record